CCUUGUACACACCGCCCGUCACAUCAUGAAAGCCGGUUGUACCCGAAGUCCGCAGGCUAACCGCAAGGAGCCGCCUAGGGUAAAACUAGUGACUGGGGCU
This 100-nucleotide ribosomal RNA is filed under the name uncultured bacterium. RNAcentral describes it as "partial 16S ribosomal RNA". The record is from RNAcentral.